UCUGUGGUUGGAUAGCGGGUUUGUGUUGCCCAACUCUGCGCGAAUACACUGUGCCAAUUGAAUCUCAGUUUAGGUUGCAGCCCAGCCAGCAGUACACGACGGGCGUUACGUCUCCAGGUUAGCAACACAAAUUACAAAAAAGUCGGCGGUUGUAUUCGAUUAAAGUUUUUAUUAAAAGUAUGAAUUUCACCACCACGCGGAAGCACCGCGGUUGUACAGUACUAGCAUAGAAAGAAAGUGUGGCUGCCCCAAAGAGACAUGUAGGUGAACAGUGGAGACGGAUAUGAAGGACUGUGGUCUGUCAUGGAACACCAUCUCCAGACAGAAGCCUUAUGUCCUAAAUAGGAAUUAAGCAAGGAAGUAUUCUGUCAUCGAAUAUUAAUUCUCAUAUCCAUGGCUUUGAAAACUUUUAUUAAAUUUGACAACAACAGCA
This is a long non-coding RNA of Oncorhynchus tshawytscha (Chinook salmon), 433 nucleotides long. RefSeq lists it as uncharacterized. Lineage: Eukaryota; Metazoa; Chordata; Actinopteri; Salmoniformes; Salmonidae. The transcript has 2 exons. The record is from RefSeq and is a predicted model, not a curated record.